GGCUUGUUGGUCUAGGAGUAUGAUUCUUGCUUAGGAUGCAAGAGAUCCCAGAUUCAAAUCCUGGACAAGCCC
Molecule: non-coding RNA, 72 nt
Organism: Chelonoidis abingdonii (Abingdon island giant tortoise)
Lineage: Eukaryota; Metazoa; Chordata; Testudines; Testudinidae
Source: the annotation of a RefSeq genome assembly